GUAGGGUGCGAGCGUUAAUCGGAAUUACUGGGCGUAAAGCGUGCGCAGGCGGGCUUUUAAGCCAGACGUGAAAUCCCCGGGCUUAACCUGGGAAUGGCGUUUGGGACUGGGAGUCUGGAGUGCGGCAGAGGGGACUGGAAUUCCUGGUGUAGCAGUGAAAUGCGUAGAGAUCAGGAGGAACACCGAUGGCGAAGGCAGGUCCCUGGGUUGACACUGACGCUCAAGCACGAAAGCCUGGGGAGCAAACAGGAUUAGAUACCCUGGUAGUCCACGCCCUAAACGAUGUCGACUGGUUGUUGGGGGUUUGACACUCUCAGUAACGAAGCUAACGCGUGAAGUCGACCGCCUGGGGAGUACGGCCGCAAGGUUA
This 370-nucleotide ribosomal RNA is filed under the name uncultured bacterium. Its description in RNAcentral is "bacterial SSU rRNA". It matches the Rfam family "Bacterial small subunit ribosomal RNA", at positions 527 to 896 of the family's 1533-position model. The record is from RNAcentral.